This 465-nucleotide ribosomal RNA is filed under the name uncultured bacterium. RNAcentral's name for it is "partial 16S ribosomal RNA". It matches the Rfam family "Bacterial small subunit ribosomal RNA", at positions 338 to 795 of the family's 1533-position model. The record is from RNAcentral.
CCUACGGGAGACAGCAGUAGGGAAUCUUCCACAAUGGACGAAAGUCUGAUGGAGCAACGCCGCGUGAGUGAAGAAGGGUUUCGGCUCGUAAAGCUCUGUUGGCAGUGAAGAAAGAUAGAGGUAGUAACUGGCCUAUAUUUGACGGUAAUUACUUAGAAAGUCACGGCUAACUACGUGCCAGCAGCCGCGGUAAUACGUAGGUGGCAAGCGUUGUCCGGAUUUAUUGGGCGAAAAGCGAGUGCAGGCGGUUCAAUAAGUCUGAUGUGAAAGCCUUCGGCCCAACCGGAGAAUUGCAUCAGAAACUGUUGGACUUGAGUGCAGAAGAGGAGAGUGGAACUCCAGGUGUAGCGGUGGAAUGCGUAGAUAUAUGGAAGAACACCAGUGGCGAAGGCGGCUCUCUGGUCUGCAACUGACGCUGAGGCUCGAAAGCAUGGGUAGCGAACAGGAUUAGAUACCCUUGUAGUC